AGUGAACGCUGGCGGCAGGCCUAAUACAUGCAAGUCGAACGGCAGCACAGCAGAGCUUGCUCUGUGGGUGGCGAGUGGCGGACGGGUGAGGAAUACGUGGGAAUCUGCCCAGUCGUGGGGGAUAACGUAGGGAAACUUACGCUAAUACCGCAUGCGCCCUUCGGGGGAAAGCCGGGGGACCUUCGGGCCUGGCGCGAUUGGAUGAGCCCACGUCGGAUUAGCUAGUUGGCGGGGUAAAGGCCCACCAAGGCGACGAUCCGUAGCUGGUCUGAGAGGAUGAUCAGCCACACUGGAACUGAGACACGGUCCAGACUCCUACGGGAGGCAGCAGUAGGGAAUAUUGGACAAUGGGCGCAAGCCUGAUCCAGCCAUGCCGCGUGAGUGAAGAAGGCCCUCGGGUGUAAAGCUCUUUUGUCCGG
This 419-nucleotide ribosomal RNA is filed under the name uncultured bacterium. RNAcentral's name for it is "bacterial SSU rRNA". It matches the Rfam family "Bacterial small subunit ribosomal RNA", at positions 30 to 443 of the family's 1533-position model. The record is from RNAcentral.